GAGCGCAGCCUACCAUGCAAGUCGAACGGCAGCACAGAAGGAGCUUGCUCCUUGGGUGGCGAGUGGCGGACGGGUGAGGAAUGCAUCGGAAUCUGCCUAUUUGUGGGGGAUAACGUAGGGAAACUUACGCUAAUACCGCAUACGUCCUACGGGAGAAAGUGGGGGACCUUCGGGCCUCACGCAGAUAGAUGAGCCGAUGCCGGAUUAGCUAGUUGGCGGGGUAAAGGCCCACCAAGGCGACGAUCCGUAGCUGGUCUGAGAGGAUGAUCAGCCACACUGGAACUGAGACACGGUCCAGACUCCUACGGGAGGCAGCAGUGGGGAAUAUUGGACAAUGGGCGCAAGCCUGAUCCAGCCAUGCCGCGUGUGUGAAGAAGGCCUUCGGGUUGUAAAGCACUUUUGUCCGGAAAGAAAAGCGCUCGAUUAAUACUCGGGUGUUAUGACGGUACCGGAAGAAUAAGCACCGGCUAACUUCGUGCCAGCAGCCGCGGUAAUACGAAGGGUGCAAGCGUUACUCGGAAUUACUGGGCGUAAAGCGUGCGUAGGUGGUUUGUUAAGUCUGAUGUGAAAGCCCUGGGCUCAACCUGGGAACUGCAUUGGAAACUGGCUUACUAGAGUGCGGUAGAGGGGUGUGGAAUUCCCGGUGUAGCAGUGAAAUGCGUAGAUAUCGGGAGGAACAUCUGUGGCGAAGGCGACACCCUGGACCAGCACUGACACUGAGGCACGAAAGCGUGGGGAGCAAACAGGAUUAGAUACCCUGGUAGUCCACGCCCUAAACGAUGCGAACUGGAUGUUGGGGGCAACUUGGCCCUCANUAUCGAAGCUAACGCGUUAAGUUCGCCGCCUGGGAAGUACGGUCGCAAGACCGAAACUCAAAGGAAUUGACGGGGGCCCGCACAA
This 900-nucleotide ribosomal RNA is filed under the name uncultured Lysobacter sp. RNAcentral's name for it is "bacterial SSU rRNA". It matches the Rfam family "Bacterial small subunit ribosomal RNA", at positions 42 to 928 of the family's 1533-position model. The record is from RNAcentral. Lineage: Bacteria; Pseudomonadati; Pseudomonadota; Gammaproteobacteria; Lysobacterales; Lysobacteraceae.